This 238-nucleotide long non-coding RNA is filed under the name Elaeis guineensis (African oil palm). RNAcentral describes it as "long non-coding RNA (EGUI_LNC042653)". Lineage: Eukaryota; Viridiplantae; Streptophyta; Magnoliopsida; Arecales; Arecaceae. The record is from RNAcentral.
AGCCACCCAAACAUCAGGUCCAAGACUUGAAAUCUGUUGCUAUGAGGUUGGUACAAGUUCCUCUCAGAUCUGGAGUUGAUCUGAGGUCGUUUGAGGUGCGGGUGAGAUCUCCAUCAACAGAUCUACAGGAAAGGCUGCAGCAGGACAGAUCUGCAAGGUCUGGUUCUAUCUACCUUCUUCCCUAUCUAGAAUAUCCCAAUUUGAGAUCUACAAAUUGAAAGACCUCGGUCCAGGCCUG